GUCAAGUCAUCAUCGGCCCUUACGGCCGUGGCUACACACGUGCUACAAUGGUCGGUACAAAGGGUUGCCAAGCCGCGAGGUGGAGCUAAUCCCAUAAAACCGAUCGUAGUCCGGAUCGCAGUCUGCAACUCGACUGCGUGAAGUCGGAAUCGCUAGUAAUCGUGAAAUCAGAAUGUCACGGUGAAUACGUUCCCGGGCCUU
Molecule: ribosomal RNA, 201 nt
Filed under: uncultured Pseudomonas sp.
Lineage: Bacteria; Pseudomonadati; Pseudomonadota; Gammaproteobacteria; Pseudomonadales; Pseudomonadaceae
Description: partial 16S ribosomal RNA
Rfam family: Bacterial small subunit ribosomal RNA
Source: RNAcentral